This 2078-nucleotide long non-coding RNA is filed under the name Heterocephalus glaber (naked mole-rat). RNAcentral's name for it is "lncRNA (ENSHGLG00100045541.1)". Lineage: Eukaryota; Metazoa; Chordata; Mammalia; Rodentia; Bathyergidae. The record is from RNAcentral.
UUUCGGCGGCUGAGAGCCUCAUUGCUGGAGAAUUCCCGGUGCAGCAGGGUUAUAUAAUCUGACUCAGAAACUGGGCCUCAACCCAGCGAGGUCAACAUGUUCUUUAUUUAAUUAGUCUUUUAGGCAUUUAAAAGCACACGCAUAUUUAAAAGAAAAGGUCUAUUAUAAAGGAGAUGUAAAGUCAACUGGAAUACUUAAUCAUCAAAAUUCAAUUUUAUUCUUCUUCCUCUCUCCCUUUGUUUUAGGGGGAAAUAGGUUUUGUGCACGAUUUGGGGGUGAGCAAUAGGACGGGGUAGAAAUGACCACAAGGAUUUGUUGACUUGUUUUCAAGGAGAUGGGGAACUGCAGUCUUAGCGGGUGGCUGCGCCCAGGUAAGGGUGAAAUACAGAAAGCGUUGGGCCACCUACCAGCAAAAGUUUCCACAGGGCGCGGGCCACUCCUUAGCUAGCCGGGGCCGCGCCUCCAGGACCUUAGUCCCGAAAAUGAACGCCGCAGGGUCGACUGGUCGGGGCGCACGAAGCAUCAGCUCGGCCUUGUGGCCGGACCGGGUGUCUCGGAAGGCGGGCUGAUCCCAGGCCAGUCCGCGGGAUUAGGAGUGGUCACCCUAAACCAGGAGAGGGCAGGGUGGGAGUGUGCGCGGCGUCGCGAUGCAGACUCAUCCGGAGGUCUCAGCACCCGAAAAUGUGGAGGGUCUUCAGAGAGAAAAGAAGCCUUAGGGGUACAGACUGCAAGUUAUGAAGUCUCCACCAAGGGGGGAAAAGUAGCAUCUGAACUGUCGCUGUGAAGAAAUUGUUUGCAGGUAUUCUGAUUCAGCACAUCAGGCCAGGUGUCUGAGCGACUGCAUUUCUCGAAAGCUCCCAGAGAUGUGCUGUGGCUGCUUUGUGUCCCAUCAUCCCCUGAGGAGCAGCUCUGAAUCAGUUCACUCACCAUCUUGGUCCCCACAAUUCCCACAGUUUUGAAAGAAAGCCAAGACCCUGGAACUGUAGCUCUCACAAUUUCUGAUACAUCUAAAUCACCUUGAAGGCUCAUUUUAGAAUGCAAAUUCCAAGGCCUUGACCUGGAAGAUUCUGAUUCACCACUGCUACUUCCCUGCAUGCCUAGACCUAAGCCUGGCUGUAGCACAGCUAUGCCAUCAGGUCCUCCCAGCUCCUGAGCCUGUCCUCCGGCCAUACCCCUUUGCUUGCAAAAAGCCUGAUUUGGUGGCCUUCUUCUCUUUGAAUGUCCUUUGCUGGUUCUCAUGAUUGUCUAGUUUUUUAUCUCUGCUCAGAUGUCUCUUCCUCAGAGGGGUUUUCCCUGACCACAGUCUAAGGUAAUGCUUUCUGCCACAGUCACUGUCCCUGUGCUUUCUUGCCUUCCUUCCCAGUUCCUGUUACUCUCUGGAAUAAUCUUGUCCCUGCAUCUGCUUAUUGGUUUGCUGUCUGUCUUCCAUGGCAACAGGAACUUUACCUGCCUUGUUUUCCACACUGAAUUCUCAGUACCUAGCACAGUGCUGGAGAACUGAAUGAAUGAAUGAAUGCACCCUAGUGGAGAAAGAAGGUGUAAAGUAAACAGUGACAUGAAUUCUGGCCUUGGAAAUUUAAGACUUCAGAGUGAAGCAGAAGUGAGCAUCUCAUGAACAAAGGAUCCUAAGAAUAGAAAAGGAUUCAUCAUGAUUCCUUCAGGGUGUGGAAGAAAAUUAAGUUAGGAAUAGAAGAUGUAGAAUACAAAAUUCAUUGUCCUUCCUCUGUAUUUCAUUUUAAAAUGAUAAAAAUAUAUGUUCCUGGUAGGCAAUUUGGGAAAACAGAAAAAUUUAAGAAAGUAUAUACCACAUUAACUGACCACCCAUGGGUAACUUUGGUUUUCAUUUUUGUGUUUUUCCUUUUAAAUUAUUGUAAAUGUUUUCAAAUAUGUGUGUCUUAUAUACACAUAUAUAUGGCACAUAUACUUUCAUGUUCUGCUCUUUUAUUAUUUCACAUUAUAGGAUGAGCAUAUUCUUGUACCUACAAAGUGCCUUUAAAACAUACUUUUAAUUGGUGUUUAAUACUCCAUUAUAUGAUGGAAAUGCAUUAUAUAUUUGUUUUACUUUUUGUUCAGAAGAG